UAUAAGCGCCAGCACUGUGAACGGGUCAUGGUUCACAGAUGACGAGGAGGGAAACGAUCGAAAAUUCGGCGGAUGUUUCCCCGUCCGGUCCCGGAUGUAAGGAGCCAUACAAACCAGAGGAGUGAUCCACUGACAAAGAUGUC
RNAcentral lists this non-coding RNA (143 nucleotides) under chicken gut metagenome. RNAcentral describes it as "glmS glucosamine-6-phosphate activated ribozyme". It matches the Rfam family "glmS glucosamine-6-phosphate activated ribozyme aptamer", at positions 8 to 154 of the family's 167-position model. From Rfam's summary of the family: This entry contains a glucosamine-6-phosphate activated ribozyme that is found in the mRNA for GlmS. GlmS is an enzyme that uses fructose-6-phosphate and glutamine to generate glucosamine-6-phosphate. The record is from RNAcentral.